Molecule: ribosomal RNA, 100 nt
Filed under: Azomonas agilis
Lineage: Bacteria; Pseudomonadati; Pseudomonadota; Gammaproteobacteria; Pseudomonadales; Pseudomonadaceae
Description: partial 23S ribosomal RNA
Rfam family: Bacterial large subunit ribosomal RNA
Source: RNAcentral
CCCUAAAGGGUCGUCGAAGACUACGACGUUGAUAGGCAGGGUGUGUAAGCGUUGUGAGGCGUUGAGCUAACCUGUACUAAUGGCCCGUGAGGCUUGACCA